UCAAAAAAUAUGGCCUUUUAUUGUCUUGGAUGCAAAUAUAGUUUUCAAACUGCAUUGUAGUGUUGAAUACAGCUGGUGGAAAGGUGCUUCUCAACAGCGGAGCAUAAACGGCCUUGCUCUGGAUGGCGCAGGCCUGAGGCUUGGGGCCUCCGGUGAGCAAGACUCUUCUUGGGUUUUGUUUUUCUGCCCACGAGGGGUGACUGUUUGCUACAGAAGCCCUGACACAGUCACCGGAGCUCACAAGAGAAAAAAAUGAACCAUUUACACAAUGAACUGAAAGCAGAAAAAGGAAAAGAACGUGCUGUUUCAGCUGUGGCGUUACAGAAGAAGCCCACAAACACGAGUGUGAACAGAUUCAGAUAAAGCAGCAGCAAGGGCGCCGAGGGAGGGGCCUCGUGCCAGUUCCCUCGGGGACACACAGCCUCGGCUCCAUGUCUCCUACCUUUUAACUGCAGGAAGGAAACUUUAUGGAAAUGUAUCGAACUUCAGUUUCUCCCAACCCUCUCCACCACCUCAACUCUUGAGGAUGGCACCUCUCUGUUCACAUACCCAGGAGAGAAUUCUUCCAAUUAGCGACACCCAGGGUUGACUCUGGAACCAAAAGGUUGACUGGGAGAUAAAAGCGAAUUUUGCUACAUAAUUGUCAAGGUAUUUCACAAAAAUAAAAUCCAUUAAAAACACCCACAAACACGCACACACACACACACACACAGAGCCAACAUUCAACAGGAAAAGUUCCCUUUUCUUUCUCAAAGGCUGAUUUUUACAAGCCUCGACAGGAACGGCCCCCACGUGGUGAGCUGGGAAAGCCAAGGCCUCAGAAGGGAAAGACAAUGGGGCAGGUGAUGGAGGGGAUGUGGUGAAAAUCUUUAAUAUACAAGGCAUCAGGGACAUCGAGCCAAAAACCAUGGCCCACCACUGCUGCGCACCCACCUCAGGGCUCGCCAGCUCCCUUCCUCGUUGUCAAGGCCACUGCAGAGGAAGCACUUUGCAAAGUGGCUCCGACAAGCAGCAGACCGGGCGGGUUUCACCUGCAGCAAAUCAAUCAGCGGAAGCAAGGCAUCUCUAGGGAAAGGCAAUUCCUCCACCAGAGAGAGGAGAGCAGCUAUACUCAGCUUAGUUAGGGGCCUGGAGCCGUGAGAGAGACAAAAGACGCAGGCAGAGCUAGAUGACCAUGGGAGGGGAAGAGCAUAGGGGUGCUGUGCCAAGGCUGCC
Molecule: long non-coding RNA, 1215 nt
Filed under: Sus scrofa (pig)
Lineage: Eukaryota; Metazoa; Chordata; Mammalia; Artiodactyla; Suidae
Description: lncRNA (ENSSSCG00025011620.1)
Source: RNAcentral